Non-coding RNA from Parasteatoda tepidariorum (common house spider), 615 nucleotides. Lineage: Eukaryota; Metazoa; Arthropoda; Arachnida; Araneae; Theridiidae. The record is from RefSeq and is a predicted model, not a curated record.
UUUUGUAUCUAUUUUUGUUAAAUUGUUGUUUUGAUUUAAGUAUUAUUUGUAAUUAUGAGUGGAAAAGUCGUUAGCAAAGCACAGUUAGAAAUCCUGGUUUGCUACAUGGAACUAAAUCCUAAAUUAUACCGCAAUCAAUUGCUGAAUGAUUUCACCCACAGCGAUAAGAAAAAACUUUGGGAAGAGCUUUCUUUAAAGUUGAAUGCGGAAGGUUCAUGCUCAAAAAGCACAGAAAAAUGGAUGCGUACAUGGAUUGAUUACAAAUCCAAUGUAAAGGCGAAGGCCAGUGCAAUAAAAAACAGCCAAAAAAAAAACAGGAGGAGGCCCUGCGUCUAGAAAAUCAUUAUCUGAUUUGGAAACAAGAACGGCAGCCCUGAUAGGGGAUUCAUUGCUUUAUGGGAUGCAAGAAAUUGUUGAUCCUGAUACUGAUUCCUUUAUUGAAAGUCAACAGACCCCUUGUGGAAGCAAGAGGAAGAGUUCGCAGGAAAGUGAAUCUGUGAUCAAGAGGCCAAGGAGCAGCAACGACACUUUGUUGCAAGAACUUCAGAGCAACCAGCAAAGAGUUCUGGAGUCAAAUGCUCAAAUUGCUGAAAGUUUAGGGCGCAUCGCUGUGUG